UAUUCUGCCCCACGGGGAAGGAUGAGAAGCUUCGACUAAGGUUCGACUCGAGCGAAGCGAGAGAACGUUGCCGCAGGCAACGGCCCGAAGGGCGAGGCGCUUUAGCGCCG
RNAcentral lists this small RNA (110 nucleotides) under Klebsiella pneumoniae. RNAcentral's name for it is "partial RtT sRNA". It matches the Rfam family "RtT RNA", at positions 1 to 108 of the family's 130-position model. From Rfam's summary of the family: This family represents a bacterial cis-regulatory element known as RtT RNA. The exact function of RtT is unknown although it is thought that it may be involved in changing the cellular response in relation to amino acid starvation. Lineage: Bacteria; Pseudomonadati; Pseudomonadota; Gammaproteobacteria; Enterobacterales; Enterobacteriaceae. The record is from RNAcentral.